GUGCAGCCAACUAAGCUGACUGUGCUUUCCAUCCCAUGGACCGGGUGUGCAACGCUGCAGACAGCAGGCAGCUUCCUUGGUAGUGUGAUAGCCUGUGGCUUGCAUGUGCUGCAAUAAGGGACCUGGGAGACAGGU
Sorex fumeus (smoky shrew) is the source of this 135-nucleotide small nucleolar RNA. RefSeq annotates it as small nucleolar RNA SNORA70. The transcript has a single exon. NCBI's taxonomy places the organism in Eukaryota, Metazoa, Chordata, Mammalia, Eulipotyphla, Soricidae. The record is from RefSeq and is a predicted model, not a curated record.